CAAGCGUUGUUCGGAAUUACUGGGCGUAAAGGGCGCGUAGGCGGCCUGUUAAGUCGAACGUGAAAUCCCCGGGCUCAACCCGGGAACUGCGUCCGAUACUGGCAGGCUUGAAUCCGGGAGAGGGAUGUGGAAUUCCAGGUGUAGCGGUGAAAUGCGUAGAUAUCUGGAGGAACACCGGUGGCGAAGGCGGCAUCCUGGACCGGUAUUGACGCUGAGGCGCGAAAGCCAGGGGAGCAAACGGG
Molecule: ribosomal RNA, 242 nt
Filed under: uncultured bacterium
Lineage: Bacteria
Description: partial 16S ribosomal RNA
Rfam family: Bacterial small subunit ribosomal RNA
Source: RNAcentral